Molecule: long non-coding RNA, 1069 nt
Organism: Apis laboriosa (Himalayan honeybee)
Lineage: Eukaryota; Metazoa; Arthropoda; Insecta; Hymenoptera; Apidae
Exons: 4
Source: RefSeq, a predicted model, not a curated record
CCCAGCGGAGCACGACGGCACGCGACCACGGAAACCUCUUCUUCCUCUCUUUCCCUUUCUCCUUUUCAUUCGAGCUCGAACAUUGUCUGUUUGAUUCGAACAGCUUGGAUGUAAGGCAGUGAUCAUCGCUUGUAAAGAGGGAUAAAUCGAAGCAUCGAAAAGAGGUUUCACGAGCAGGACGUUGUUUCGUCGCUAUUAUUACGCCACACAAAAUUGGUCAAUCACACGAAUACGAGUAAUUUACGUCAAAUGAACCUCACCAGGAAACUGUCCCGACUUGGAGCGUGACCGUUGUACGAUCUAUCGAUCCUGGUAUUAGCCGAGGGAUCCAUUAUGUUGCAGCUUCACCAUCUUCUCUAUGCAAAAAGAAUCUCGUGUAUCGUAAAAGCUGAUUACGCGUGCAUCUACGUUUACUUUUUAACACAUGGAAUCUCUAUUUUUGAGAAACGAACAUAAAAUCAAGGUUUUGUAUAAGAAAAAGGAAUUGGUUCUCGAAUCGAAGUCAAUACAUUUAUUUGGCUGGAUUUAAUUCAGACGUACAAGCAGGUUAAAUGAAGCUAACUCCAAGAUUUAUAAAAACAUAUAUGUAUCAUUGAAUUUCCUCUUUCGUACGCAAAAACAAGAUUCAUCAUGUUGGCAGAAAAUAAACAAUACGAUAAAAAAUUAUAGAGAUUCCUGUUGAAAAAAAAAAAAAAAAAAAGAAAAAUAAUUCUCGAGAAGUUUAUAUUGCCGACGACAGUACCCUUUUACAAAUUAAUGCGCGCUCGUGGGCGUAGACCCGCCACAUCUCGUGCACAAGCACACAGUUUUUCGUGAUGGGUCGGGCACGGGGAGGAAUCGGCUCAUUUGUUGCGUAUUAGCGGAGGAUAAUUAGGUUUCUCGAGGCUGCCGCCUUUUGCGAACCAAGCGACUUCAAGAGUCUUCCGAAAAAAAGAGAGGAGGGAAACGAAUGAGGUACGCCUACCCCUAGAAAUUUUCGUCGUGAGAAGGAAAAUCUCGAAAAUCACCGGUUGCCAGCCGAAAGUUAAUCGAUUCCAACGAUUCUACCAUUUUCCUUGUCGAUACAAUA